This 427-nucleotide ribosomal RNA is filed under the name uncultured bacterium. RNAcentral's name for it is "bacterial SSU rRNA". It matches the Rfam family "Bacterial small subunit ribosomal RNA", at positions 354 to 796 of the family's 1533-position model. The record is from RNAcentral.
GUUGGGAAUCUUGCACAAUGGGGGAAACCCUGAUGCAGCGACGCCGCGUGGAGGAUGACGGAUCUAGGUCUGUAAACUCCUUUUUCAGGGAAAGACUUAGGACGGUACCCUGAGAAUAAGCUCCGGCUAACUACGUGCCAGCAGCCGCGGUAAGACGUAGGGAGCAAGCGUUGUCCGGAUUUACUGGGCGUAAAGGGCGCGUAGGCGGUCUGUUAAGUGAGUACUAAAAUCUCCAGGGCUCAACCCGGAAACUGGUUCUCAUACUGACAGACUGGAGGAAGGCAGAGGUAACUGGAAUUCCUGGUGUAGCGGUGAAAUGCGUUGAUAUCAGGAGGAACUCCAAUGGCGAAGGCAGGUUACUGGGCCUUAUCUGACGCUGAGGCGCGAAAGCGUGGGUAGCAAACAGGAUUAGAAACCCUGGUAGUCC